CCUGACCGGCAUCUGGCGAGGCUCAUGCGUCCCGUGAGGGCGGUUCCUCGAGCCGCGGGGCGCUCAGAUUGCUUUGGAGACGCUGAGAGAACCUUUGCGAGAGCGCCGGUUGACGUGCGGAGUGCGGGGCUCCGGGGGACUGAGCAGCACGAGACCCCAUCCUCCCCUCCGGGUUUUCACACUGGGCGAAGGGAGGACUCCUGAGCUCUGCCUCUUCCAGUAACAUUGAGGAUUACUGUGUUUUGUGAGAGCUCGCUAGGCGCCCUAAGCAACAGAGGUAACCACUUUAUAUCCUUGUUUCUCAACCUCAUUAUUCC
This 317-nucleotide long non-coding RNA is filed under the name Pan troglodytes (chimpanzee). Its description in RNAcentral is "long non-coding RNA NONPTRT006605". The record is from RNAcentral. Lineage: Eukaryota; Metazoa; Chordata; Mammalia; Primates; Hominidae.